UGCCUAACCCUCUUGAAUUAAAAAUUUAGAGAUAUGGCAUAAAAUCCCAUCCCUGAUACUGAGCUCUUCGUUCAGCUACUCAGGGAUGGGUCGUAUAGGGAAACUUGUAUGGAUGGCCGAAAGGUCGUC
Molecule: small RNA, 129 nt
Filed under: unclassified sequences
Description: LOOT RNA
Rfam family: LOOT RNA
About the family: Latescibacteria, OD1/Parcubacteria, OP11, TM7. Lineage (Microgenomates, aka OP11)
Source: Rfam by way of RNAcentral